This 497-nucleotide ribosomal RNA is filed under the name uncultured bacterium. RNAcentral describes it as "partial 16S ribosomal RNA". It matches the Rfam family "Bacterial small subunit ribosomal RNA", at positions 28 to 507 of the family's 1533-position model. The record is from RNAcentral.
GAUGAACGCUGGCGGCGUGCCUAAUACAUGCAAGUCGAGCGAACAGACGAGGAGCUUGCUCCUUCGACGUUAGCGGCGGACGGGUGAGUAACACGUAGGUAACCUACCUAUAAGACUGGGAUAACUUCGGGAAACCGGAUCUAAUCCCGGAUAAUAUUUCGAACCGCAUGGUUCGAUAGUGAAAGAUGGCUUUGCUAUCACUAAUAGAUGCACCUGCGCCGUAUUAGCUAGUUGGUAAGGUAACGGCUUACCAAGGCAACGAUACGUAGCCGACCUGAGAGAGUGAUCGGCCACACUGGAACGGAGACACGGUCCAGACUCCUACGGGAGGCAGCAGUAGGGUAUCUUACGCAAUGGGCGAAAGCCUGACGGAGCAACGCCGCGUGAGUGAUGAAGGUCUUCGGAUCGUGAAACUGUGUUAUUAGGGAAGAACAACCGUGUAAGUAACUGUGCACGUAUUGACGGUACCUAAUAAGAAAGCCACGGCUAACUACGUG